Molecule: ribosomal RNA, 465 nt
Filed under: Vreelandella stevensii
Lineage: Bacteria; Pseudomonadati; Pseudomonadota; Gammaproteobacteria; Oceanospirillales; Halomonadaceae
Description: partial 16S ribosomal RNA
Rfam family: Bacterial small subunit ribosomal RNA
Source: RNAcentral
CCUACGGGUGGCAGCAGUGAGGAAUAUUGGACAAUGGGGGGAACCCUGAUCCAGCCAUGCCGCGUGUGUGAAGAAGGCCCUCGGGUUGUAAAGCACUUUCAGUGAGGAAGAACGCCUGGUGGUUAAUACCCAUCAGGAAAGACAUCACUCACAGAAGAAGCACCGGCUAACUCCGUGCCAGCAGCCGCGGUAAUACGGAGGGUGCGAGCGUUAAUCGGAAUUACUGGGCGUAAAGCGCGCGUAGGUGGCUUGAUAAGCCGGUUGUGAAAGCCCCGGGCUCAACCUGGGAACGGCAUCCGGAACUGUCAAGCUAGAGUGCAGGAGAGGAAGGUAGAAUUCCCGGUGUAGCGGUGAAAUGCGUAGAGAUCGGGAGGAAUACCAGUGGCGAAGGCGGCCUUCUGGACUGACACUGACACUGAGGUGCGAAAGCGUGGGUAGCAAACAGGAUUAGAUACCCGGGUAGUC